CUUCCUCCACCAGGUGGCCCUGGAGCUUGGUGGCUCUGGCCCUCAAACUUUCCUCCUCCAUGCUCACAGCUGACCAAGCCUGUGGCCCUGCGAUCCUGCUCUGAGGGGGUUCCUGACUUGGACCAUGGGUGGGGCCAAGGACGGCCUGACAUUCUGUCCUUCCCUGCUGAUGGCCCAGUGCCCCACAUUCUCUGCAGAGAUGAAAUCCCACAUCCCUGGGUGAGUGGCGAGGAAAGGACCAGGCUACGUGGUCAUGGGCAGCUGACAGGGUGUGGUUCCCCCUGCCACACUCCCCAAGUCUGUCACUCCUUAAAGGACAGGUUUCUCCACUGGUGAAUGAACAGAAGGUGGAGCAGCCAGCCUCCCGGCCACUGCUGUCUGGGGUCCUGGCCAGAUCAAGGAAGCAGUGUCCCUGUGCCUCCUGGGGGGUAAGCCCACACCUGGGAGGGCCUGUCCACAUUCUGACCCCUCGCUGGGUCUAGAUCUGGCUCCCCUGACUUGGCUCUUCCCUCCCCAUCUACCCUCCAACCUGUUUCUUCCUUCUCCCGCUUCUCCCUUUCUUUCCUGUUUCUCUCCUUUUGCGAUUUCUUCUCCUCUGUCAUCUCCCCAGCCCCUCCUCCUGUUUCUCCUCCAGUUUCACUCCCUGCCAACCCAGGGCUUUCUCCUCUGCACUCUUGUCCCUCCCUCCCCUCCUCACUUCUUGCCCAGUCUCUUGCCAUUUCUGCCCUCCUCUGAACCUCCAGCAGUCUCUUCCACCUGCAGGCAGGGCCAUGGGCCUCUUACCCCGUGAGGCUCGGUGCUGUCUCUGUGGGGCCCUGUCCAUGGGGCAGCUCCCUUGGUGCCGUCCUGGCUGCCCUGGCUGCCCAGGAGGGCAGGGAGCAGGGCCCAGGGGAGGGAGGAGGGCGGAGGGUGGAAGGCGGGAGCACCUGGCCCUCCAGCAGGCAGGGAAAAGGAGUGGCUGGCAGAGUGUCCUGGCACCAGGAGGGGACAUGAGGAGAGACCAGUGGACCAGUGCAUGGAGCCUUGAGGAGAAACAGGACAGGAGAAAGGAAGGGAACUAGCAUUUAUUAAUCACUUACUGUGUGCUGGGCCCUUUGCAGGACACUUUAUGUAAAUCCAUGCUUUUACUUUGUGUAAAUAUUCACAGCACCCACCACAGGGAAACAUUAUUAUUCCAGAUUGAUCAGUGAGUGGAGGGAUUCUCAGAGAUAUUAAUGAUUUUGCCCAAGGACUCACACAAGAACAAUAAAUGGGUGAGCUAUGAUUUGGACCCAAGUCUUUGUGACUUUAGAAUCCUGUGAUUUCUACCUAAGACAGGUGACAGGCAUAGGGGAGAUGGAGAGGGCAGGUUUGGGGGACUGUGUCUCUUCUCUAGGAUGCAGUCAGACUCCUCCCAGUGACUGUUCAGUUCCCUGAGGCCUCUGCCUGCUCGGCCCCUGCCCCUAACCCUUGCUGCUCUUGCCAGGACUCCCUGACCCCCUGAUGCUUCUACGUGCUCCUCAUCUGUUGGGGCAAGGGGCAGGCCUGGAGGAGUGCCUGGAGGCAGAGAAGCCAUGGUGGGGAAGAGGAGAGGAGAGAUGCUGCACUGGACUCAUUGGGAGAAGGAGAGGCUCCCAGACCUAGUGGCCCACACUGAGGCCUGCAGUGAAGGCUCUGAAGGGGGCCAAGAGGACGAGGCUUCUGGGGAUCCUGGUGCUGCUUUUCUCCUGCAUGGCCUGGGCCCAGAGUUUGAUUAGCUGGGCCUGACUCUCCUGGUUACCCAACAAGCAACUGGCCAGGGGCCAGGCUGCAGCAAGAGGCUCCCUGGCACCUCCUCCUGCUCUCGUUCCCAGCUGGUAAACAGCAGAGCAGGAGUCAGCCAUGCCACAGCCUCGUGACUCGCCCACUCCCCCCCACCUGGUGCACGUGGCACCUGGCAUGGAGAGGGCAAGCAGCUGUCCCUUCCCUCUUCUGCCGUCUCGUCUCGCCAUCCUCCACUCCUGCCCAACCCUGGAGCUUCACACUCUGCUACCAUCAGCACCUCUGUUCUUAGGUAGCUCCCAGAGUCUCCCCAUGGCUGCAGAUUGAGAGAUAAAGGUAGAAGUGGAGAAGGACUUUUCAACUCCUAGGGUCAUUGACAGUGGAUGAGUAGUGAGAAAGAGGAGGGGAAGUUUUGGGGACCUUCUGCACUGAGUCUAAGGGUAUGUGCCUAUGCCUCUGAGGCUCUGAUUAUCCCCCGUGUUCUUUUGGUAAAUGUGGGCCCACGCAUCCAUGUAUGCAUCUCUGCACAGAACAGGAUGUUGGUCUGUUUGGGGGCUCUGCACCUUGGGCAGGUUUGGAGUGAGAGGUAAAGUGCUUUGCAGCUCCCUUCCCCCCCGCCCCC
This 2362-nucleotide long non-coding RNA is filed under the name Homo sapiens (human). RNAcentral's name for it is "HSALNT0015181". The record is from RNAcentral. Lineage: Eukaryota; Metazoa; Chordata; Mammalia; Primates; Hominidae.